AAAAAAUUAGUUAAAAAAUAACGUUAGUUUGUCAUACUAGAAUUAUUAAAUUUUUAAUAUUUUUUA
Molecule: transfer RNA, 66 nt
Filed under: Ochthebius sp. IBE<ESP> AN76
Lineage: Eukaryota; Metazoa; Arthropoda; Insecta; Coleoptera; Hydraenidae
Description: tRNA-Asp
Source: RNAcentral